CAGAAUCGUCAUCGCUGCGAAAGUGGCGCGUGGAUUAUGCGCGCGUCCUGUUGUUUGUCUUGUCCUUUAUGUAAUCCCAGGGCUGAACGCUGAGGACUUGAUGGAGAAGGACAGCCAUGCCAAGGACCUUCUUCAGGUUCUCUUUGGCCAUCGUGGUGUGCGGACAGUUGAAUGCUCGACGUCCACUGAUUGCCUUUGAAGAGCUGUACAAGGCCAGCCAGGAACCGACAGAAAAGGUCAACGCGGGCGACGGCAAGAGCAAACCUUCGCCGCUGGGAGCGCCAUGUUAUUUCAAUCGGGAUUGCCCUAUUAACGAAUUCUGCCUCAAGACUGACAAGAGUGCGUUCAACACUGGUGUGUGCACUGUGUUGCCGGAAUACUCCGAAGAAAGCCAGCUAAAUCACAACAGUGACCUCCGCUACCUGGUGAACAGGCCAAUACCGAGAAGGUCCAGGAGUCUUCAGCGACUCCUCGAAAAGUUCGGUGACGAUACGUGCUAAGUAGACUGUUCUUCGACUGUUAUUUUGGUAUCGCUUUGUAGGUGGAAAGAGCAGCAGCGUCAUCCUUCCCGGGGUAAUGUCGACGAGAAGCAACAUCCAAGACGACACCACAACCUCGUCGUUUAAACUGGACGCUACAGGAAAGCUCGAGAGCCACCACCACAGCCAAGGCAGUAACUACAAAAUUUGCGUCGCCAACUCGAGUCAAGGCUACAAGGUGGCUAUGGACACGAAUUAUCCGGGAAAGGUUGCUCCGGAGCCGGGCAGCAGCCAGUCCAGACAGCAGACUCGGGCAACGCCCUCCACCGUUGGAAAUAGUCCCGGGGCUACUUCCCUGGUUGUUCAGGUCGACGAGGGUGACAUGGCCGUUGGGCCACGGAGGGCCAACAUGACUGCUGUAGUGAAAGACGGCGUUACGACGUUGUUGAAAAAAUAAACUCGCAGGAUUGUGCACAAAGA
Ornithodoros turicata is the source of this 959-nucleotide RNA transcript. RefSeq lists it as uncharacterized. Lineage: Eukaryota; Metazoa; Arthropoda; Arachnida; Ixodida; Argasidae. The record is from RefSeq and is a predicted model, not a curated record. The transcript is spliced from 3 exons.